Molecule: ribosomal RNA, 375 nt
Filed under: uncultured bacterium
Lineage: Bacteria
Description: bacterial SSU rRNA
Rfam family: Bacterial small subunit ribosomal RNA
Source: RNAcentral
UUAACGGGAAGAACCUUACCAGCUCUUGACAUCCCAAGACCGCCACGGAGACGUGGUUUUCCCUUCGGGGACUUGGAGACAGGUGCUGCAUGGCUGUCGUCAGCUCGUGUCGUGAGAUGUUGGGUUAAGUCCCGCAACGAGCGCAACCCUCGCCCUUAGUUGCCAGCAUUCGGUUGGGCACUUUAGGGGGACUGCCGGUGAUAAGCCGAGAGGAAGGUGGGGAUGACGUCAAGUCCUCAUGGCCCUUACGGGCUGGGCUACACACGUGCUACAAUGGCGGUGACAAUGGGCAGCGACCUCGCGAGGGGGAGCCAAUCCCAAAAAGCCGUCUCAGUUCGGAUUGCACUCUGCAACUCGAGUGCAUGAAGUUGGAAU